RNAcentral lists this ribosomal RNA (967 nucleotides) under uncultured bacterium. RNAcentral's name for it is "bacterial SSU rRNA". It matches the Rfam family "Bacterial small subunit ribosomal RNA", at positions 335 to 1329 of the family's 1533-position model. The record is from RNAcentral.
ACUCCUACGGGAGGCAGCAGCAAGGAAUUUUGUGCAAUGGGCGAAAGCCUGACACAGCGACGCCGCGUGAGGGAUGAAGGCCUUCGGGUUGUAAACCUCUUUUCUCAGGGAAGAAUAAUGACGGUACCUGAGGAAUAAGUCUCGGCUAACUACGUGCCAGCAGCCGCGGUAAUACGUAGGAGGCGAGCGUUAUCCGGAUUUACUGGGCGUAAAGCGGGCGUAGGCGGCUUUUCAAGUCGGGUGUGAAAUCUCCCUGCUUAAUAGGGAGGGGUCAUUCGAUACUGUUAAGCUAGAGGGCAGCAGGGGGAGGUGGAAUUCCCGGUGGAGUGGUGAAAUGCGUAGAUAUCGGGAGGAACACCAGUGGCGAAGGCGGCCUCCUGGGCUGUUUCUGACGCUGAGGUCCGAAAGCGUGGGGAGCGAACAGGAUUAGAUACCCUGGUAGUCCACGCUGUCAACGAUGGAUACUAGGUAUAGGGAGUAUCGACCCUCUCUGUGCCGAAGCUAACGCGUUAAGUAUCCCGCCUGGGGACUACGGCCGCAAGGCUAAAACUCAAAGGAAUUGACGGGGGCCCGCACAAGCAGCGGAGCGUGUGGUUUAAUUCGAUGCAACGCGAAGAACCUUACCAAGGCUUGACAUGACGGAAGUAGCAACCUGAAAGGGGAGUCACCUGUUGAGUCAGGAACCGUCACAGGUGCUGCAUGGUUGUCGUCAGCUCGUGCCGUGAGGUGUUGGGUUAAGUCCUGUAACGAGCGCAACCCCUGUUGUCAGUUGUUUUUUCUGGCGAGACUGCCCCGAGAAACGGGGAGGAAGGUGGGGAUGACGUCAAGUCAGCAUGGCCCUUAUGCCUUGGGCUACACACACGCUACAAUGGGUAGUACAAUGGGUAGCAAUAGAGCAAUCUGGAGCCAAUCCUAAAAACUAUCCUCAGUUCGGAUUGCNGGCUGAAACUCGCCUGCAUGAAGUUGG